This 83-nucleotide transfer RNA is filed under the name Fusarium euwallaceae. RNAcentral's name for it is "tRNA-Asp". It matches the Rfam family "tRNA". Rfam says of the family: Transfer RNA (tRNA) molecules are approximately 80 nucleotides in length. Their secondary structure includes four short double-helical elements and three loops (D, anti-codon, and T loops). RNAcentral also lists the same sequence under 2 other names. The record is from RNAcentral. Lineage: Eukaryota; Fungi; Ascomycota; Sordariomycetes; Hypocreales; Nectriaceae.
UCUUCCGUAGUAUAGUGGUCAGUAUGCAAGCUUGUCAUCAAAACAAUACGCUUGAGACCCGGGUUCAAUUCCCGGCGGGAGAG